Molecule: ribosomal RNA, 1050 nt
Filed under: human gut metagenome
Description: bacterial SSU rRNA
Rfam family: Bacterial small subunit ribosomal RNA
Source: RNAcentral
ACGCUGGCGGCAUGCUUUACACAUGCAAGUCGAACGGCAGCAUAGAGAGCUUGCUCUCUGAUGGCGAGUGGCGAACGGGUGAGUAAUACAUCGGAACGUGUCCGUUUGUGGGGGACAACCACCCGAAAGGGUGGCUAAUACCGCAUAAGACCUGAGGGUGAAAGCCGGGGACCGCAAGGCCUGGCGCGAACGGAGCGGCCGAUGACUGAUUAGCUGGUUGGCGGGGUAAAGGCCCACCAAGGCGACGAUCAGUAGCUGGUCUGAGAGGACGACCAGCCACACUGGAACUGAGACACGGUCCAGACUCCUACGGGAGGCAGCAGUGGGGAAUUUUGGACAAUGGGGGCAACCCUGAUCCAGCCAUGCCGCGUGCGGGAAGAAGGCCUUCGGGUUGUAAACCGCUUUUGUCAGGGACGAAAAGGUGCGGGUUAAGAGCUAGCACUGAUGACGGUACCUGAAGAAUAAGCACCGGCUAACUACGUGCCAGCAGCCGCGGUAAUACGUAGGGUGCGAGCGUUAAUCGGAAUUACUGGGCGUAAAGCGUGCGCAGGCGGUUGGGUAAGACAGAUGUGAAAUCCCCGGGCUUAACCUGGGAACUGCAUUUGUGACUGUCCGACUGGAGUAUGUCAGAGGGGGGUGGAAUUCCAAGUGUAGCAGUGAAAUGCGUAGAUAUUUGGAAGAACACCGAUGGCGAAGGCAGCCCCCUGGGGCAAAACUGACGCUCAUGCACGAAAGCGUGGGGAGCAAACAGGAUUAGAUACCCUGGUAGUCCACGCCCUAAACGAUGUCUACUGGUUGUUGGAGGGUAAAACCUUCAGUAACGAAGCUAACGCGUGAAGUAGACCGCCUGGGGAGUACGGUCGCAAGAUUAAAACUCAAAGGAAUUGACGGGGACCCGCACAAGCGGUGGAUGAUGUGGAUUAAUUCGAUGCAACGCGAAAAACCUUACCUAGCCUUGACAUGUCAGGAACGCUCCGGAGAUGGGGCGGUGCCCGCAAGGGAACCUGAGCACAGGUGCUGCAUGGCUGUCGUCAGCUCGUGUCGUGAGAU